Acinonyx jubatus (cheetah) is the source of this 3974-nucleotide long non-coding RNA. RefSeq lists it as uncharacterized. The transcript has 3 exons. Lineage: Eukaryota; Metazoa; Chordata; Mammalia; Carnivora; Felidae. The record is from RefSeq and is a predicted model, not a curated record.
AGCUGCCCCAUUUGCCUGCGGCACGAGAGCACGGUUUCCCGCGAUUCCAGAGCUCUGCGCUGAGAAAAAGGGAACCUCCGCCGUGCAUGCUGAAGUCUCGGUCUUCAGACUUGACUUGACUGAGAUGCUUGACUGCCCUACGUCUGGAAGGAGGCCGACAGCCUGUUGUCAGAAGCAGGACCUGAGGUGAUUUCAGCAAGGCAGGACCGGUGUCUCCUGGAAUUGGGUGCGGUCUCUACAGGAGACUAGUGCUCACCGCUCCUAGCUUGUAUACAUACGGACAGCCUUCUACUCGCACCGUGAGUCCUCUUAGGGACUCAAAAGAGACAUAGAGGGAGAGAACCUCAGUUAUCGCCCAGAUCUUCUGGAGUAAGUUAGACACACCAGUCCAGCCUCCUGAACCGUCACUGGGUCCUGACCACCUAUUUGGGGUAGAGAACUGGUAUUCAUCUCAAAGUUUGGAAGAAAGGGUCUGGGAGGCACCAAGCAAUGGGUGGGCAAAGAGAAUGUGUCAGCCAGUGAAAAUCAACUUUCCGUGGGUCCACGGCAGAUAUGGACCAGAGACCAGAAACAACAUGAAUCUCUGAUGUUUUUCUACAGAGUUCUGUUAUCAACUUGUAAAGAGCCGACUUCAGAAUUAGACUUUUCCAAAUCCUAUAUUUGGAUUUGGCCAUGAAGCCAAAACUUCACAGCAUUGCCGGACAUUAAAUCUCCUAUGCAAGCCUUUGCUCUGGGUGUCUUUUUUGUUUUUUGACAAUGUUGCCCACAGUGAGUACUGCGAAAAUCUAGUUUACCAUUGCUUUUUCCAAGUCCUUCUGGUGACUCCUUCUGAUUUGACCUAGUACAGCACAUCUUGGGGGAGCAUUGGUGGUUCAGUGGUGGAGGCCUGGGUUCAAUUCCCAGCCAGUGCAGUGUGUUCAGCAGUUUUACUUUGAACUGUCUGUCUGUUGCUCAGGCAAGUUAGGUCCCUCUGGGGUUCUGACCUUCAGGGAACAGCUGCCCCAUUAGGGGAGGAAAGUGGGUUAUUUCCGGGGCAGAAGACAUUGAGGAAUUUGUGUGAACAGGGACUUUGGAGAAGGUAUGUCCUUCACGUGCGGGUGUGUCUGACGGGUCUGUCUCUGACGUUUUUGCAUCUUUGGGUCUAGAGCCAGUGUUACUUUUAUUCUUCCUUCUGGUGGUCCCUGGAAUCCAUAGAGUCAUCUGGUCACUGAUACACAUGCUGGACUUGGGCAGACCAUUGGGCCACGUCUCACUAUGGAGUGGGGAUCAAGAAACGAAAUUCCCAAAUUGAGACAAGCCGCAGGGAGGGCUAGGCAGACACCCCAGUGGAGAGGAAGAAAUGAGGGGCCCCAGGAAGGAGGAGACUUGUGGGGAAGAGUCCACAGGGUGAUGAGGGGAACUGGGUAGAGGUAGGCUUCAGUCGUUGAUGGUCUUGGUAGAAUGAAGGAUGAGUCCCCGAGUGUAGAGCAGCAUGUACAAUAAAGUCAUUUUCACUACUAUUGUUUUAUAGUCUGUCCGGGAAAAAUCUAUUUAGUGCAUCGUUUUUAUGCUUAUUGGUAAGCAGCACGGUGGGGGAGGGGGGGCGGGCGGGAAGCCAUGACAAUCAUCAGCUCUGGAGGUUUGGAGGAGGAGACUCUGGAAAAAGAAAACCCAGGGAUCAUCAGGUUUGCCUACCCCUGUUUUCAUCUACUAUUUUCCUCAACAAACCUUAUGUAGGGUCCCAGAUCUCAAACUGCCCCUGCCACACUGGCAAAUUGAAUAUGUGCCACUGAUCAUUUCUUUCUUGAAGGGAUAAGAAAUGGUAGAGCCGGUGCUAUGGGAGUGAGAUGCAAGAACAGAACUUAAAUGCUUUUCUCCAUCAUGUCUCACUGCUACCUCUGAACGUCAGCCUUCCACACACACCAGUUCAAAAACGCCUUCAGUCUCUAUGGAGGGUUAGAAGUCUUUUAUAAUUCCUGUAAGGCAUGUUUCUUCCUUCCUUCUAUAAUUCCACCAGGGUUGAUUUUUGAGGAGCUGGUCAGCAAGCCCGGACCAGUUCAACAUCCUGGAUCAUUUGUCUGGUUUCGGUAUCGUUAGAGUAGGCAGGUAGUUAAGUUCUAACAGGACACCUGGAGGUCAGCAAAGAGGAAGUGCUGGCCAGCUAUCAGGGAGGUCAGAGGCCUGUCCUGGCAGCGGCAGUCCACAAGAAGCCGGAUCAAACCAGAUAGGCCCAAGAUGGUGGGAGCCAGGAUGGGAAAAUUGAGGGGGGAAAAAAAAAAAAAAAAGGAAACCCUGCUUCUGGACCAAACAGUAAAUAUUCCGCCCCCCUAGUCAAUAACUGUCAAUGAAAGAGAGAAACCCAACCCCCAGGGUGUGGCAGUUCACCUGGCUCUGGCUCUCACUCCCCUCCCGCUGUCACUGUCCCUCUGUCGCUAGCACUCUCACUGGCGCUCUUACUCUUGAGCUCAAGUUCGGCUGCUCUCAUAUCUCCAGGAGUGUACUUUUUGCUUCUGUUACUCAUCUGUUGUGCUACAUGUCUGUUCUUGAAUUCCUUCUCCUGGCAAGACCAAGAACCUUUGGCAACUCCUUCAGGUUCUGGCUGGAUUGAGGAGGCCCCAGGACCCCGGGUCUCCCCAGUUCACCCGGCAAUAGUAUAUUAAAAAAACAAAACAAAACAAAACAAAACAAAAACAAAACAGGCCCAAAAUGGCAUCACUUGGGUUAAGGCCCCAAGUCAGUAAGACAGGACUUACCACCUAACCUAACUGCAAUUUCAACCUCCCAGAAAUGUAACCUUUAACAUUGUAACCGGCAACGUGGAAUUUCCUGGUCAAUACUAGGAACUUUACUGGUACACUCCUCCCUCUUCCCCUUAGGAGGGCAGCCUUGCCUAAAUCAUGCAUUUCUCGCUAAUAAGUUCCUUUCUUCUUUGAUUUUUAUGCCCUUUCCGCCUUUAAAAACCUUUCUGCCUGUUUAACUUCCCGCGGAGUUCCCCUGUACUUGCUAGAUGGGCUGCUGCCUGAUUCAUGAAUCAUUUAAUGAAGCCAAUUAGAUCUUCAAAUUUACUAGGUUGAAUUGAGUAUUUUUAAGAGAUUUGGUGCAGCAUGGGGAUCCAAAGUGUACUUCUGAUGGCAUUCGGGGACAAUGAGAAACAGGCAUGGUGCCUUGUGAGCUCACUGCCUUUCUCGCCACUUCUGAGGACUACUGGUAAGUCUGUCUUGGCUUGAGCUCCGCUUCUGUGUGUGUGUUCGAGCUACUGAUCUAACUGGUUUCCCAGUCUAGGGGUCGUGGGGUAGUGUAGACUGACGGGAGGUUCCGACAGAGCGGCAGUCCUUAGCCCUUCGUUCAGUCCACAAGUACACGUUGGAGUCCUGUCUCCUUUUCCAGUCCACAGUCUCCAUUUACUGGAGUCUACUGGUUUAGUCCAUGCUGGGAAUCGCUGGUGGUGUGCAGGGCCUUCUCUUUGCCAGUAAUAUCUUUUGGUUACUGCUGGUGUGUUGAAGUGCCUACGUUUGUCUGGUUUUGUGUGAACAGGGCUUAGCUAAUAGGAUCCUUAAAUUCUAAAGAGCCAAGCACGCCACCUUCUGGCACACCUGCUUACUUUAUGUCUAAAAACUAUGGUGCCAGGAGCUGUGCAUAUCUGUAGAAAUGGCGAAAUUUUACUAAAAACAACUUGGAAUUACAAUGGCCACGACGGGGAACAUUCCAAGUAGAUAAGACAAUUUAAGAAGUGCACUUAAAAGUAAAGGUUCUCAAAUUAAACAGAAUGGGAUAACUGUGUUAAUUGGCAAGAAAAACCUCCAGAAGCCUUCCAAUUCAUUGAAAGAUUCACUGCAAAAGGCUAAUGGAGAAAAAGGAUGUAAGAGGUACCUAAAACAAAAGACUGUAACACUGAUGUGACUCCUUUUGCUCCCCUCUGUCCUCCUUUGAGGACUCCUUCUACUGAUCCUCUGUCCCAAUUGCUUUUCCACUCGGAAGAGACCACACAACUGCAA